CUGGCAGGCCACAAUAAUGGCCACGACUUUGCUCCACUUCCUGCGGUGGAUACCGUGCGGCUCCUCCACUCCCUGGCAGGCCACAGUAAUGGCCACGACUCUGCUCCACUUCCUGCGAUGGAUUCCGCGUGGCUCCUCCACUCUCUGGCAAGUCACGACAAUGGACGCUGCUCCACUCCCCGCAACGGGCUCCACAUGGCAGGCCACGGUGAUGGCCAUGAUUCCACUCCACUACUCUUCAUAAUAAACUUCUCCUGGCCCCGAAUGGCCUACUGCCAGGCGGUUACAAACAUCGCUAUCAGUCUGUUACACCCUCCGCCUAUAAAAAGAGGGGACUCCAGAUACGUUAUUCUCUAAGCU
This 360-nucleotide long non-coding RNA is filed under the name Elaeis guineensis (African oil palm). RNAcentral describes it as "long non-coding RNA (EGUI_LNC049901)". Lineage: Eukaryota; Viridiplantae; Streptophyta; Magnoliopsida; Arecales; Arecaceae. The record is from RNAcentral.